RNAcentral lists this ribosomal RNA (435 nucleotides) under uncultured bacterium. RNAcentral's name for it is "partial 16S ribosomal RNA". It matches the Rfam family "Bacterial small subunit ribosomal RNA", at positions 341 to 792 of the family's 1533-position model. The record is from RNAcentral.
ACGGGAGGCAGCAGUGGGGAAUAUUGCACAAUGGGCGAAAGCCUGAUGCAGCAACGCCGCGUGAAGGAUGAAGGUCUUCGGAUCGUAAACUUCUGUCCUUGGGGAAGAAGAACUGACGGUACCCAUGGAGGAAGCCCCGGCUAACUACGUGCCAGCAGCCGCGGUAAUACGUAGGGGGCAAGCGUUAUCCGGAAUUAUUGGGCGUAAAGCGUACGUAGGUGGCGGCUUAAGCGCAGGGUUUAAGGCAAUGGCUCAACCAUUGUUCGCCCUGCGAACUGGGCUGCUUGAGUGCAGGAGAGGAAAGCGGAAUUCCUAGUGUAGCGGUGAAAUGCGUAGAUAUUAGGAGGAACACCAGUGGCGAAGGCGGCUUUCUGGACUGUAACUGACACUGAGGUACGAAAGCGUGGGGAGCAAACAGGAUUAGAUACCCUGGUA